AUACUUAUCUGGCAGGGAAGAGACCAUGAUCAUGAAGAUGGUUUUCCCAGGAUGAGGCUAGCCUAUUGCACUUCAGGUGUGCUGAUGCCUGCGAUGUCCCCAAAUGCAGGAUACUCAACUGCGUAAUUUGUGGUAGUGGGGACUGUGUUUGCGCUCUCCCCU
Molecule: small nuclear RNA, 162 nt
Organism: Carcharodon carcharias (great white shark)
Lineage: Eukaryota; Metazoa; Chordata; Chondrichthyes; Lamniformes; Lamnidae
Product: U1 spliceosomal RNA
Exons: 1
Source: RefSeq, a predicted model, not a curated record